UUUGAUCCUGGCUCAGGACGAACGCUGGCGGCGUGCCUAAUACAUGCAAGUGGAACGCAUGAUUGAUACCGGAGCUUGCUCCACCAUUAAUCAUGAGUCGCGAACGGGUGAGUAACGCGUAGGUAACCUGCCUCAUAGCGGGGGAUAACUAUUGGAAACGAUAGCUAAUACCGCAUAACAGUAUUUAUCGCAUGGUAAAUGCUUGAAAGGAGCAACUGCUUCACUAUGAGAUGGACCUGCGUUGUAUUAGCUAGUUGGUGGGGUAACGGCUCACCAAGGCCUCGAUACAUAGCCGACCUGAGAGGGUGAUCGGCCACACUGGGACUGAGACACGGCCCAGACUCCUACGGGAGGCAGCAGUAGGGAAUCUUCGGCAAUGGGGGGAACCCUGACCGAGCAACGCCGCGUGAGUGAAGAAGGUUUUCGGAUCGUAAAGCUCUGUUGUAAGAGAAGAACGUGUGUGAGAGUGGAAAGUUCACACAGUGACGGUAACUUACCAGAAAGGGACGGCUAACUACGUGCCAGCAGCCGCGGUAAUACGUAGGUCCC
RNAcentral lists this ribosomal RNA (549 nucleotides) under Streptococcus suis. RNAcentral's name for it is "bacterial SSU rRNA". It matches the Rfam family "Bacterial small subunit ribosomal RNA", at positions 12 to 535 of the family's 1533-position model. Lineage: Bacteria; Bacillati; Bacillota; Bacilli; Lactobacillales; Streptococcaceae. The record is from RNAcentral.